Molecule: ribosomal RNA, 496 nt
Filed under: uncultured bacterium
Lineage: Bacteria
Description: partial 16S ribosomal RNA
Rfam family: Bacterial small subunit ribosomal RNA
Source: RNAcentral
ACGCACGCUGGCGGCGUGCCUAAUACAUGCAAGUUGAGCGCUGAAGGUUGGUACUUGUACCGACUGGAUGAGCAGCGAACGGGUGAGUAACGCGUGGGGAAUCUGCCUUUGAGCGGGGGACAACAUUUGGAAACGAAUGCUAAUACCGCAUAAAAACUUUAAACACAAGUUUUAAGUUUGAAAGAUGCAAUUGCAUCACUCAAAGAUGAUCCCGCGUUGUAUUAGCUAGUUGGUGAGGUAAAGGCUCACCAAGGCGAUGAUACAUAGCCGACCUGAGAGGGUGAUCGGCCACAUUGGGACUGAGACACGGCCCAAACUCCUACGGGAGGCAGCAGUAGGGAAUCUUCGGCAAUGGACGAAAGUCUGACCGAGCAACGCCGCGUGAGUGAAGAAGGUUUUCGGAUCGUAAAACUCUGUUGGUAGAGAAGAACGUUGGUGAGAGUGGAAAGCUCAUCAAGUGACGGUAACUACCCAGAAAGGGACGGCUAACUACGUG